GUGGAUUAGAUACCCUGGUAGUCCACGCCGUAAACGAUGGGUACUAGGUGUAGGGGGUAUCGACUCCCUCUGUGCCGCAGUUAACACAAUAAGUACCCCGCCUGGGGAGUACGGUCGCAAGAUUAAAACUCAAAGGAAUUGACGGGGGCCCGCACAAGCAGCGGAGCAUGUGGUUUAAUUCGAAGCAACGCGAAGAACCUUACCUAGACUUGACAUCUCCUGAAUAGCCAAGAGAUUGGUGAAGCCCUUCGGGGCAGGAAGACAGGUGGUGCACGGUUGUCGUCAGCU
Molecule: ribosomal RNA, 288 nt
Filed under: uncultured bacterium
Lineage: Bacteria
Description: partial 16S ribosomal RNA
Rfam family: Bacterial small subunit ribosomal RNA
Source: RNAcentral